RNAcentral lists this ribosomal RNA (353 nucleotides) under uncultured Methanolinea sp. RNAcentral's name for it is "bacterial SSU rRNA". It matches the Rfam family "Archaeal small subunit ribosomal RNA", at positions 88 to 446 of the family's 1478-position model. The record is from RNAcentral. Lineage: Archaea; Methanobacteriati; Methanobacteriota; Methanomicrobia; Methanomicrobiales; Methanoregulaceae.
GCUCAGUAACACGUGGACAACCUACCCUGUGGAGGGGGAUAACCCCGGAAAACUGGGGAUAAUACCCCAUAGGUUAGGGAGGCUGGAAUGCCCCCUAGCUCAAAGGUCCGCCGCCACAGGAUGGGUCUGCGGCCGAUUAGGUUGUUGUUGGGGUAACGGCCCAACAAGCCUUUGAUCGGUACGGGUUGUGGGAGCAAGAGCCCGGAGAUGGAUUCUGAGACACGAAUCCAGGCCCUACGGGGCGCAGCAGGCGCGAAAACUUUACAAUGCGAGAAAUCGUGAUAAGGGAACCCCGAGUGCCCGUAAAUUCGGGCUGUCCGCCAGUGCAAAAAACUGGUGAAGAAAGAGCCGGG